AGGGGCCCUGAUCCCGAAAUCCCGGGCUUAAAAACAUGAUAUCCCGAGGUGCGUAUUUUAACGAAAUUCAUAUCCCGACAUCACGUUAUUAAAAAAAAAAUAUUCCUGCAUCCCGUAGAGAUCAAUCCCGAAAUCCCAAGCUUAAAAACACCCGAUCCCGACGCCCCGAAUAAGUCCUGCCUCCCUCUAAUCUCUACACUACUUUCAUUUUGGCAAAAUCACUUCUUUCGUCCGUCCUUCUGUCCGUCUUCAGGUUAAAGUUUUAACUUUCAACAAUAAAUUUUUAUGCCCCAAUUAUGGGAAUUAUGUUUUUUAGUCUGUUUGUCCGUUGGUUCGUUCGUCCGUCCGACUGUCCCGCUUC
RNAcentral lists this long non-coding RNA (361 nucleotides) under Mytilus galloprovincialis (Mediterranean mussel). The record is from RNAcentral. Lineage: Eukaryota; Metazoa; Mollusca; Bivalvia; Mytilida; Mytilidae.